CGUACGAUACGAGUUGAUCAUGGCUCAGGAUGAACGCUAGCGGCAGGCCUAAUACAUGCAAGUCGAACGGAUAUAUGUUUUUCGGAAUAUAUAUUAGUGGCGCACGGGUGAGUAACACGUACAUAACUUGCCCUCAAGCGGGGGAUAGCCUUGGGAAACUGAGAGUAAUACCCCAUAGAAUUAUUGGACGGCAUCGUUUGAUAAUUAAAACUACGGUGCUUGGGGAUAGAUGUGCGUCUGAUUAGCUAGUUGGUGAGGUAACUGCUCACCAAGGCGACGAUCAGUAGGGGGCGUGAGAGCGUGGCCCCCCCACACGGGUACUGAGACACGGACCCGACUCCUACGGGAGGCAGCAGUAAGGAAUAUUGGUCAAUGGAGGGAACUCUGAACCAGCCAUGCCGCGUGAAGGAUGACGGCCCUCUGGGUUGUAAACUUCUUUUGGAUGGGGCGAAAAACGGGNUUUAUCCUGGACUGACGGUACCAUCAGAAUAAGCACCGGCUAACUCCGUG
This 510-nucleotide ribosomal RNA is filed under the name uncultured bacterium. RNAcentral describes it as "bacterial SSU rRNA". It matches the Rfam family "Bacterial small subunit ribosomal RNA", at positions 1 to 507 of the family's 1533-position model. The record is from RNAcentral.